CCUUGACAUGGUCGGAAUCCUGAAGAGAUUCGGGAGUGCUCGAAAGAGAACCGGCGCACAGGUGCUGCAUGGCUGUCGUCAGCUCGUGUCGUGAGAUGUUGGGUUAAGUCCCGCAACGAGCGCAACCGUUGUCCUUAGUUGCUUCGCAAGAGCACUCUAAGGAGACUGCCGGUGACAAACCGGAGGAAGGUGCGGAUGACGUCAAGUCCUCAUGGCCCUUAUCGGUAGGGCUUCACACCUCAUACAAUGGUCGGAACAGAGGGUUGCCAACCCGCGAGGGGCAGCUAAUCCCAGAAUACCGUUCGUAGUCCGGAUUGCACUCUGCAACUCGAGUGCAUGAAGCUGGAAUCGCUAGUAA
RNAcentral lists this ribosomal RNA (358 nucleotides) under Burkholderia sp. EBR3R12. RNAcentral describes it as "bacterial SSU rRNA". It matches the Rfam family "Bacterial small subunit ribosomal RNA", at positions 979 to 1341 of the family's 1533-position model. The record is from RNAcentral. Lineage: Bacteria; Pseudomonadati; Pseudomonadota; Betaproteobacteria; Burkholderiales; Burkholderiaceae.